Molecule: long non-coding RNA, 1497 nt
Filed under: Ananas comosus (pineapple)
Lineage: Eukaryota; Viridiplantae; Streptophyta; Magnoliopsida; Poales; Bromeliaceae
Description: long non-coding RNA (ACOM_LNC015527)
Source: RNAcentral
CUCGAACCUGAAUUUAUCUUAUAUUAUAUAUACUAUGUAUAUAAAAAUUUGAUGUUAUAUUUAAAUUUGUAUUUUAAAACUUUAAAUUUAAUAUUAUAUAUUUUAAAAUAUUGAAAAGAGAAAUAAUUAUUUCGGGUUUAGAAUUUCAGGUUCGGAUUCGGAUUCAGGUUCAGGUUCGGGUUUCGAAUUUUUGGUCGGGUUAAGAUUUGAAUAUGAAUUUUUAAAAUCCGUCGGGUUCGAAUUCGGGUUCAGGUUCAGGUUUCUAGUUUGGAGUCGGGUUCGGGUUCGGGUUUGGGGUUUGGAAAAUCCGCCCGAAUCCGACUGGUUGACAUCCCUAGUAACAUUACAAUUCAUUUUUAUGUUCAACUCACUUAUUUUACUUGAUUGGGUAUCAUAUUAAUAAGAAGGGAUAGUUAUAUAUGGUUUUCUAUAAAAAUAUCAAAUAACAAAAUAUUUUUAUAAAAUUUAAGUUAUCAUAUUUAUCUCUCCAAAAGUCCAUUCGUCUGCAAAUAUAUUCUUUCCUUAUCAAAAUUUAGAUAACAUGAGUUAAAAAAAACUAACCACAACUAGCUAAGAAAUAAAAUAACAUUUUAACCUCUUAUAUAUAUAUGUAUAGAGAGAGAGAGAGAGAGAGAGAGAGAGAGAGUAGGUCUUGUGUGCUAUUAGGAGCACGGAGACGGAGGUCUCCGUGCUCCUAAGCCAUUUUCGAUCAUGGAGCUUUCGAAUCGACGAUCGGCUCCAUUAGACUUGAUCUAGCGUAUUUGAAGUACCUAAAAAAUAAAUUUUGCGAUUUUUCGAUAUCAUUUACCUAGCGAUCAAAAGGGUUCAAAAUCAACGGCCGAAAAUAAAAAUCUCAAAAAAAGUGGUUAUAUAGCACUAAAAUUUUCUAUCAGAGAUAUUGAUCUUACUGUAAAUAAUAUAAAAAAUUUUCUAUCAAAAUUUUAUCUGAUUUGAAUACUUCUACACCGUUAAACUUGCAAAUGGUAUACAUUAACCAUUAAAAAUUGUUGAUUUUGAACCCUUUUGAUCUCUAGGUAAAUAAUAUCAAAAAAUCACAAAAUUUAUUUUUUAGAUAUUUCAAAUAUGCUAGAUCAAAUCUAACAGAGCUGAUCAUCGAUUUGAAAACUCCAUCAUCAAAAACGGCUUAGGAGCACGGAGGUCUCCAUACUCCUAAUAGCACACAAGACCUACUAUAUAUAUAUAUUUGUAUUCUAAUAUUGAGUACUGUCAUCUUUCUCACCUUUCUUUUUUAUCUAUAGCAACAGUGAGACCUACGGCACUCGAUAGCAAUACGGCAAAGACGAGGAGAGAGAAAAAGAGACAGCUUUUUGUAAGGGCAAAUUUAUAGAGACAAUAGUCAUUAUAUAUACCCAAUGUUUCAAUUAGGUAAUGAACUUAGCUACACAGUGAGGCAACCAGGCCUCUAGGAAGAAAUAAAAAGAAGAUACGAAGAGGAACUCAAAAAUGGAAAAGAAAAAGGUGAAAAGGGGAAAGAGU